RNAcentral lists this ribosomal RNA (253 nucleotides) under uncultured bacterium. Its description in RNAcentral is "partial 16S ribosomal RNA". It matches the Rfam family "Bacterial small subunit ribosomal RNA", at positions 524 to 776 of the family's 1533-position model. The record is from RNAcentral.
UACGUAUGGGGCAAGCGUUAUCCGGAUUUACUGGGUGUAAAGGGAGCGUAGGCGGCCUGGCAAGCCUGAUGUGAAAUACCGGGGCCCAACCCCGGGGCUGCAUUGGGAACUGCCAGGCUGGAGUGCCGGAGAGGCAGGCGGAAUUCCUAGUGUAGCGGUGAAAUGCGUAGAUAUUAGGAGGAACACCAGUGGCGAAGGCGGCCUGCUGGACGGUGACUGACGCUGAGGCUCGAAAGCGUGGGGAGCGAACAGG